Non-coding RNA from Pangasianodon gigas (Mekong giant catfish), 72 nucleotides. NCBI's taxonomy places the organism in Eukaryota, Metazoa, Chordata, Actinopteri, Siluriformes, Pangasiidae. The record is from the annotation of a GenBank genome assembly.
CAUGAUGUGGUAUACUUUGGAUCAUGAGCUGUUCCUUUCUUUUGCCAUACUUUUCUCUUCCCAUCAUUCUGG